AACACGUAAGGAAUCUACCUAUAAGCGGGGGAUAACAUUCGGAAACGGGUGCUAAUACCGCAUAAUAACUUCUUCCGCAUGGAAGAAGAUUGAAAGACGGCUCUGCUGUCACUUAUAGAUGACCUUGCGGUGCAUUAGUUAGUUGGUGGGGUAAUGGCCUACCAAGACGAUGAUGCAUAGCCGACCUGAGAGGGUGAUCGGCCACAUUGGGACUGAGACACGGCCCAA
RNAcentral lists this ribosomal RNA (228 nucleotides) under uncultured Aerococcus sp. RNAcentral's name for it is "partial 16S ribosomal RNA". It matches the Rfam family "Bacterial small subunit ribosomal RNA", at positions 112 to 334 of the family's 1533-position model. The record is from RNAcentral. Lineage: Bacteria; Bacillati; Bacillota; Bacilli; Lactobacillales; Aerococcaceae.